ACAUUGAGUUGUGGACAGCUGUGAAAAGU
RNAcentral lists this non-coding RNA (29 nucleotides) under Cricetulus griseus (Chinese hamster). The record is from RNAcentral. Lineage: Eukaryota; Metazoa; Chordata; Mammalia; Rodentia; Cricetidae.